RNAcentral lists this ribosomal RNA (253 nucleotides) under uncultured Rikenellaceae bacterium. RNAcentral describes it as "partial 16S ribosomal RNA". It matches the Rfam family "Bacterial small subunit ribosomal RNA", at positions 524 to 776 of the family's 1533-position model. Lineage: Bacteria; Pseudomonadati; Bacteroidota; Bacteroidia; Bacteroidales; Rikenellaceae. The record is from RNAcentral.
UACGGAGGAUCCGAGCGUUAUCCGGAUUUAUUGGGUUUAAAGGGUGCGUAGGCGGUUUGAUAAGUUAGAGGUGAAAUCCCGAGGCUCAACUUCGGAAUUGCCUCUGAUACUGUUCGGCUAGAGAGUAGUUGCGGUAGGCGGAAUGUAUGGUGUAGCGGUGAAAUGCUUAGAGAUCAUACAGAACACCGAUUGCGAAGGCAGCAUGCCGGCUUCCGACUGACGCUGAAGCACGAAAGCGUGGGGAUCGAACAGG